CCUUUCCGGGACUUAGUGCCGUAGCUAACGCAUUAAGCACUCCGCCUGGGGAGUGCGACCGCAAGGUUGAAACUCAAAGGAAUUGACGGGGGCCCGCACAAGCGGUGGAGCAUGUGGUUUAAUUCGAAGCAACGCGAAGAACCUUACCAGGUCUUGACAUCCCGGUGCCCGUCCUAGAGAUAGGAUUUUGCUUCGGCACACCGGUGACAGGUGGUGCAUGGUUGUCGUCAGCUCGUGUCGUGGGAUGUUGGGUUAAGUCCCGCAACGAGCGCAACCCUUAUUGUUAGUUGCCAUCAUUCAGUUGGGCACUCUAGCGAGACUGCCGGUAAUAAACCGGAGGAAGGUGGGGAUGACGUCAAAUCAUCAUGCCCCUUAUGACCUGGGCUACACACGUGCUACAAUGGCUGGUACAACGAGUCGCAAGUCGGUGACGGCAAGCUAAUCUCUUAAAGCCAGUCUCAGUUCGGAUUGUAGGCUGCAACUCGCCUACAUGAAGUCGGAAUCGCUAGUAAUCGCGGAUCAGCACGCCGCGGUGAAUACGUUCCCGGGCCUUGUACACACCGCCCGUCACACCACGAGAGUUUGUAACACCCGAAGUCGGUGAGGUAACCUUUUAGGAGCCAGCCGCCUAAGGUGGGUUUGAUGAUUGGGGUGAAGUCGUAACAAGGUAGCCG
RNAcentral lists this ribosomal RNA (674 nucleotides) under uncultured bacterium. RNAcentral describes it as "bacterial SSU rRNA". It matches the Rfam family "Bacterial small subunit ribosomal RNA", at positions 829 to 1502 of the family's 1533-position model. The record is from RNAcentral.